Molecule: ribosomal RNA, 498 nt
Filed under: uncultured bacterium
Lineage: Bacteria
Description: partial 16S ribosomal RNA
Rfam family: Bacterial small subunit ribosomal RNA
Source: RNAcentral
AUUGAACGCUGGCGGCAUGCCUUACACAUGCAAGUCGAACGGUAACAGGUCUUCGGAUGCUGACGAGUGGCGAACGGGUGAGUAAUACAUCGGAACGUGCCUAGUAGUGGGGGAUAACUACUCGAAAGAGUGGCUAAUACCGCAUGAGAUCUACGGAUGAAAGCAGGGGAUCGCAAGACCUUGUGCUACUAGAGCGGCCGAUGGCAGAUUAGGUAGUUGGUGGGAUAAAAGCUUACAAAGCCGACGAUCUGUAGCUGGUCUGAGAGGACGAUCAGCCACACUGGGACUGAGACACGGCCCAGACUCCGACGGGAGGCAGCAGUGGGGAAUUUUGGACAAUGGGCGCAAGCCUGAUCCAGCAAUGCCGCGUGCAGGAUGAAGGCCUUCGGGUUGUAAACUGCUUUUGUACGGAACGAAAAGCCCUGGGUUAAUACCCUGGGGUCAUGACGGUACCGUAAGAAUAAGCACCGGCUAACUACGUGCCAGCAGCCGCCGUAA